This is a long non-coding RNA of Oncorhynchus tshawytscha (Chinook salmon), 1838 nucleotides long. RefSeq lists it as uncharacterized. NCBI's taxonomy places the organism in Eukaryota, Metazoa, Chordata, Actinopteri, Salmoniformes, Salmonidae. The record is from RefSeq and is a predicted model, not a curated record. The transcript has 4 exons.
UGUGUGUAACAGCAUCACCGGCAUGAAUCUAAUCCAAUCAGUCAGUCUACACCUGCAAAGCAUAGAAUUAGCUUCCAAUCUAGAUUGUUAUUUCUCAAGCAAUGUUUAAUUACUUAGGGAUGAUGACAAUUGUUGAUCCUGUUUUUCUGUUAGACAAAGUGCACAGUUGCCCCGAGUUACUGCCCUGAUAACAGACAGCGUCAACAACAACGACGGGCACUCCCAGUCAACACCACCGCAUAAGAUUGCCUGCUGCAGUUGCUUGAGAGAUGUCCAGUUUGCAGCCGAACAUGCAGCAUAGAGAAAACCAGCAAGGAGGCCCUCAUCAGCCUCAUGCAGACAUGCCCUCACUAGCAGUAUCUUUGAUAAGGGGCCAGAAGCUGAUCUACGCUGCCAUGCCCAUCAACAUGGCUCUGGCAAAGACCUCACCUCCAGUCUCACCUCUUGCCUGCUCAGCAACAGUUGACGAUGGGGGAGAUCAGAAUUAGAAAUGUAUGGAGCCAGCACAUGAAAACUUGCAAGAUGAUGUGAUGAAGUCCAGACUAAAAGACGGGCGUGAUGCUAAUGUCUCUGAAUGGACAUUUGUACUUGUAUUGUAUUUUUUUGUGAACUGAAUGAUGUCAGUCAAUAUGGGGAAGGAAAAACUCUGUGCAUUCUCCUCCAGGAUCAGGGAAUUCAUGUUGCAUAUGGGAUACCACACAGGAAAGCAUGACCACGUUUGCCAAGGUAGAGCUAUUACCACCAGACAAAAUGCAGAUAGGCACAAUAUAUGUAUUGGCUGGGAAUGACAAUGAAAGAUGAAAUGUACAGACUGUUAUUAGCAGGACACUGCUUCUACGGUACUAUGUCAAGUUUUUUAUUUUACAUGGACCUGUUACUGCAUUUGAAAGUUAAAAUAUCUUGUCACUUGGUAUUUAUGACUCGUGUUACAUACGAAAGGGUCCGUAAGUAAAGCAUUUCACUGUUAUUCUAAACCUGUUGAAGAUGCAUGUGAUAAAUACAAUUCCAACAUUUAUUUUUUGAUUUGAUCUACAUACAUUCAGCAUUGUUUGUAUUGUUAGUAUUGUUCUCAUGUUACUCUGCAGGUUACUGACCUAUCCAACGCUUCCUCCGGCAUCUCACCAUAUAUUUGCCAAUAAUUGAUUCAACCCGCAGGAGGUUUGUUUGUUGAGACUGAGUGGGGUGAAACAGCUGCAGACAAGGUUCUGACAGAUGGGUGUGUCUUGAUGGUUGCAAGGACACACCCAAGAAACACCCACAUCAAACCAUACCUCCAAGCCAACUCACGUUUGGCUUCUGUCAUGGCCACCAGUAUUUCUUAAGAGCAAACCAAAAAACGAGGCCAAAUCAGAGGGUGCAGUACCCCAUUACACACAAUUGACAAAGAGACGGAACUGACAAAAUGCAUUUCAGGUCAAACAUCUAGGACAUUCAACUAACUCUUCUGAAACAACCAAAGCCCCAGGGAGAAGGCUUUAGAAGUAACUUUUUCUAUUCUGUUUUGUAUCCUAGGAGAAACCAAGCUGACGUUGACUAAUGAAUGUAGAGCAGGAGUGUCAAACUAAUUUCCUCUGCGGGCCUCAUUUGGUCUUCACUGAAGUCUGGAGGGGCGUAUUUAAAUGUGAUUAUAUUUCCUUGCCGUAAAAAUAGACCUCUAUCCAUUGCUUUUGGAAUUUUUGAUGCACCCUGACUGUCUAGCUUUCGUUUUGAUGACUGUUAGCAAGCUGGACAGAGUGAAGAGACUGUAAAUGUAGGUCCAUUAUCAUUUCUACACAAUUUCGAUUUGGUUUUAGACAUUUCAAUGUUGAUUGAGAUUUGUUCCCCCCCCCACACACAAA